RNAcentral lists this ribosomal RNA (461 nucleotides) under uncultured bacterium. RNAcentral describes it as "bacterial SSU rRNA". It matches the Rfam family "Bacterial small subunit ribosomal RNA", at positions 346 to 793 of the family's 1533-position model. The record is from RNAcentral.
AGGCAGCAGUGGGGAAUAUUGCACAAUGGGCGCAAGCCUGAUGCAGCCAUGCCGCGUGUGUGAAGAAGGCCUUCGGGUUGUAAAGCACUUUCAGCAGUGAGGAAGGCGGAGUCGUUAAUAGCGGCCUCGUUUGACGUUAGCUGCAGAAGAAGCACCGGCUAACUCCGUGCCAGCAGCCGCGGUAAUACGGAGGGUGCGAGCGUUAAUCGGAAUUACUGGGACGUAAAGCGCAUGCAGGUGGUUUGUUAAGUCAGAUGUAGAAAGGCCCGGGGCUACAACCUCGGAAUAGCUAUUUAGAAACUGGCAGACUAGAGUACUGUAGAGGGGGUAGAAUUUCAGGUGUAGCGGUGAAAAUGCGUAGAGAUCUGAAGGAAUACCGGUGGCGAAGGCGGCCCCCUGGACAGAUACUGACACUCAGAUGCGAAAGCGUGGGGAGCAAACAGGAUUAGAUACCCUGGUAG